This 503-nucleotide ribosomal RNA is filed under the name uncultured bacterium. RNAcentral describes it as "bacterial SSU rRNA". It matches the Rfam family "Bacterial small subunit ribosomal RNA", at positions 376 to 896 of the family's 1533-position model. The record is from RNAcentral.
CGCAAGCCUGAUCCAGCAAUAUUGCGUGAGUGAAGAAGGGCAAUUCCGCUCGUAAAGCUCCUUUCGUCGAGUGCGCGAUCAUGACAUGACUCGAGGAAGAAGCCCCGGCUAACUCCGUGCCAGCAGCCGCGGUAAAACGGGGGGGCAAGUGUUCUUCGGAAUGACUAGGCGUAAAGGGCACGUAGGCGGUUCAUCGGGUUGAAAGUGAAAGUCGUCAAAAAAGUGGCGGAAUGCUUUCGAAACCACUGAACUUGAGUGAGACAGAGGAGAGUGGAAUUUCGUGUGGAGGGGUGAAAUCUACGGAUCUACGAAGGAACGCCAAAAGCGAAGGCAGCUCUCUGGGUCUCUACCGACGCUGGUGUGCGAAAGCAUGGGGAGCGAACGGGAUUAGAUACCCUGGUAGUCCAUGCCGUAAACGAUGAGUGUUCGCCCUUGGUCUAUUCUGAUCUGGGGCUCAGCUAACGCGUUAAACACUCCGCCUGGGGAGUACGGUCGCAAGACCG